RNAcentral lists this ribosomal RNA (506 nucleotides) under uncultured bacterium. RNAcentral describes it as "partial 16S ribosomal RNA". It matches the Rfam family "Bacterial small subunit ribosomal RNA", at positions 29 to 523 of the family's 1533-position model. The record is from RNAcentral.
UGUGAACGCUGGCGGUAGGCCUAACACAUGCAAGUCGAACGGCAGCACAGGAGAGCUUGCUCUCUGGGUGGCGAGUGGCGGACGGGUGAGGAAUACAUCGGAAUCUACUCUGUCGUGGGGGAUAACGUAGGGAAACUUACGCUAAUACCGCAUACGACCUACGGGUGAAAGCAGGGGACCUUCGGGCCUUGCGCGAUUGAACGAGCCGAUGUCGGAUUAGCUAGUUGGCGGGGUAAAGGCCCACCAAGGCGACGAUCCGUAGCUGGUCUGAGAGGAUGAUCAGCCACACUGGAACUGAGGCACGGUCCAGACUCCUACGGGAGGCAGCAGUGGGGAAUAUUGGACAAUGGGCGCAAGCCUGAUCCAGCCAUACCGCGUGGGUGAAGAAGGCCUUCGGGUUGUAAGGCCCUUUUGUUGGGAAAGAAAUCCAGCUGGCUAAUACCCGGUUGGGAUGACGGUACCCAAAGAAUAAGCACCGGCUAACUUCGUGCCAGCAGCCGCGGUAA